Molecule: transfer RNA, 70 nt
Filed under: Dipodomys ordii (Ord's kangaroo rat)
Lineage: Eukaryota; Metazoa; Chordata; Mammalia; Rodentia; Heteromyidae
Rfam family: tRNA
About the family: Transfer RNA (tRNA) molecules are approximately 80 nucleotides in length.
Source: Rfam by way of RNAcentral
GGAGAGGUAGCUCAGUGGAAGAGUGCUUGCCUUGUACACAUGAGGCCCUAGGCUCGAUUCCUCUACACCA